Molecule: ribosomal RNA, 254 nt
Filed under: uncultured bacterium
Lineage: Bacteria
Description: partial 16S ribosomal RNA
Rfam family: Bacterial small subunit ribosomal RNA
Source: RNAcentral
UACAGAGGUCUCAAGCGUUGUUCGGAUUCAUUGGGCGUAAAGGGUGCGUAGGCGGCGCGGUAAGUCGGGUGUGAAAUCUCGGAGCUUAACUCCGAAACUGCAUUCGAUACUGCCGUGCUUGAGGACUGGAGAGGAGACUGGAAUUUACGGUGUAGCGGUGAAAUGCGUAGAUAUCGUAAGGAAGACCAGUGGCGGAAGGCGGGUCUCUGGACAGUUCCUGACACUGAGACACGAAGGCCAGGGGAGCAAACGGG